RNAcentral lists this ribosomal RNA (429 nucleotides) under Chloroflexota bacterium. Its description in RNAcentral is "Chloroflexi bacterium partial 16S ribosomal RNA". It matches the Rfam family "Bacterial small subunit ribosomal RNA", at positions 355 to 776 of the family's 1533-position model. The record is from RNAcentral. Lineage: Bacteria; Bacillati; Chloroflexota.
UGGGGAAUAUUGCACAAUGGGCGCAAGCCUGAUGCAGCCAUGCCGCGUGUGUGAAGAAGGCCUUCGGGUUGUAAAGUACUUUCAGUCGGGAGGAAGGUGGUAAGGUUAAUAACCUUAUCAAUUGACGUUACCGACAGAAGAAGCACCGGCUAACUCCGUGCCAGCAGCCGCGGUAAUACGGAGGGUGCAAGCGUUAAUCGGAAUUACUGGGCGUAAAGCGCACGCAGGCGGUUGAUUGAGUCAGAUGUGAAAUCCCCGGGCUUAACCCGGGAAUUGCAUCUGAUACUGGUCAGCUAGAGUCUUGUAGAGGGGGGUAGAAUUCCAUGUGUAGCGGUGAAAUGCGUAGAGAUCUGGAGGAAUACCGGUGGCGAAGGCGGCUCUCUGGUCUGUAACUGACGCUGAGGCUCGAAAGCGUGGGGAGCAAACAGG